AACCUGCCUAUACUAGGGGGAUAACACUUAGAAAUAGGUGCUAAUACCGCAUAAGCGCACAGCUUCGCAUGAAGCAGUGUGAAAAACUCCGGUGGUAUACGAUGGAUCCGCGUCUGAUUAGCUGGUUGGCGGGGUAAAGGCCCACCAAGGCGACGAUCAGUAGCCGGCCUGAGAGGGUGAACGGCCACAUUGGGACUGAGACACGGCCCAAACUCCUACGGGAGGCAGCAG
RNAcentral lists this ribosomal RNA (231 nucleotides) under uncultured bacterium. Its description in RNAcentral is "partial 16S ribosomal RNA". It matches the Rfam family "Bacterial small subunit ribosomal RNA", at positions 123 to 354 of the family's 1533-position model. The record is from RNAcentral.